Populus euphratica (Euphrates poplar) is the source of this 516-nucleotide long non-coding RNA. RefSeq lists it as uncharacterized. The transcript has 2 exons. Lineage: Eukaryota; Viridiplantae; Streptophyta; Magnoliopsida; Malpighiales; Salicaceae. The record is from RefSeq and is a predicted model, not a curated record.
GAAAAGGGCUUCACAGUUGACACCAUUUUAGAAUUGAAGAGAGAAAAAAACAAAGGGAAAAAAAAAGAGGGAGAAAAAAUGGGUUACGUAUUGAGAGUGAGAUUGGCUUCAUUCUUUGCAGGAGCAGCAACAGCAUCAUUUGCAGGAAUCUAUCUCCUUUACAAAGAUUUCCAGGUUGCCCAUGAUGCCAUCUCUCAACAGGUGGAAAGCGUUCAUGAGUCACUGGAUAGACGGAUUUCUGCUUUGGAAAAAUUGAAACAAAAUGAAGCUUCACAACCUCUGCAAGCAGCAGAGUAGGAGCCUUGAGGCAUUCUGCUGUACUUUGAUGUUGUGACAUCAGACAUGUUUUUCUGAUAUUGCCGCUGGUUUCUUUACGGAUUUCCCCCCCUUGUUAAAGAAUAAUCAUGACUCCUAACUAUCUGCAUGGUAAUACUCAAAUCAGUUCACAAAAUUUUCUUGAAGAUGCGAGAUUGCAAUUUGUAUUGGAUGAAUGGCAAUGCACGAGCAUUCAAUUUU